Molecule: ribosomal RNA, 274 nt
Filed under: uncultured bacterium
Lineage: Bacteria
Description: partial 16S ribosomal RNA
Rfam family: Bacterial small subunit ribosomal RNA
Source: RNAcentral
AUACGGAGGGUGCAAGCGUUAUUCGGAAUCACUGGGCGUAAAGGACGCGUAGGCGGGUUGGCAAGUCAGAUGUGAAAUCCUACAGCUUAACUGUAGAACUGCAUUUGAAACUGCUAACCUAGAGUAUGGGAGGGGGAGAUGGAAUUAGUGGUGUAGGGGUAAAAUCCGUAGAUAUCACUAGGAAUACCGAAAGCGUAGGCGAUCUCCUGGAACAUAACUGACGCUAAGGCGUGAAAGCGUGGGGAGCAAACAGGAUUAGAAACCCUAGUAGUCC